This 1001-nucleotide ribosomal RNA is filed under the name uncultured bacterium. Its description in RNAcentral is "bacterial SSU rRNA". It matches the Rfam family "Bacterial small subunit ribosomal RNA", at positions 356 to 1376 of the family's 1533-position model. The record is from RNAcentral.
GGGGAAUAUUGCACAAUGGGCGAAAGCCUGAUGCAGCGACGCCGCGUGAAGGAUGAAGUAUUUCGGUAUGUAAACUUCUAUCAGCAGGGAAGAAAAUGACGGUACCUGACUAAGAAGCCCCGGCUAACUACGUGCCAGCAGCCGCGGUAAUACGUAGGGGGCAAGCGUUAUCCGGAUUUACUGGGUGUAAAGGGAGCGUAGACGGCUGUGCAAGUCUGAAGUGAAAGGCAUGGGCUCAACCUGUGGACUGCUUUGGAAACUGUGCAGCUAGAGUGUCGGAGAGGUAAGUGGAAUUCCUAGUGUAGCGGUGAAAUGCGUAGAUAUUAGGAGGAACACCAGUGGCGAAGGCGGCUUACUGGACGAUGACUGACGUUGAGGCUCGAAAGCGUGGGGAGCAAACAGGAUUAGAUACCCUGGUAGUCCACGCUGUAAACGAUGAAUACUAGGUGUUGGGGGAUUGACCCCCUCAGUGCCGCAGUUAACACAAUAAGUAAUCCACCUGGGGAGUACGACCGCAAGGUUGAAACUCAAAGGAAUUGACGGGGGCCCGCACAAGCAGUGGAGUAUGUGGUUUAAUUCGAAGCAACGCGAAGAACCUUACCAGGUCUUGACAUCCGAUGCAUAACACAGAGAUGUGUGAAAUCCUUCGGGACAUCGAGACAGGUGGUGCAUGGUUGUCGUCAGCUCGUGUCGUGAGAUGUUGGGUUAAGUCCCGCAACGAGCGUAACCCUUAUCUUUAGUAGCCAGCGGUUAAGCCGGGCACUCUAGAGAGACUGCCAGGGAUAACCUGGAGGAAGGCGGGGAUGACGUCAAAUCAUCAUGCCCCUUAUGACUUGGGCUACACACGUGCUACAAUGGCGUAAACAAAGGGAAGCAAAGCUGUGAAGCCGAGCAAAUCUCAAAAAUAACGUCUCAGUUCGGACUGUAGUCUGCAACCCGACUACACGAAGCUGGAAUCGCUAGUAAUCGCAGAUCAGAAUGCUGCGGUGAAUACGUUCCCG